This 481-nucleotide ribosomal RNA is filed under the name uncultured bacterium. Its description in RNAcentral is "bacterial SSU rRNA". It matches the Rfam family "Bacterial small subunit ribosomal RNA", at positions 29 to 530 of the family's 1533-position model. The record is from RNAcentral.
AUUGAACGCUGGCGGAAUGCUUUACACAUGCAAGUCGAACGGCAGCACGGGGCAACCUGGUGGCGAGUGGCGAACGGGUGAGUAAUACAUCGGAACGUGCCCAAUCGUGGGGGAUAACGUAGCGAAAGUUACGCUAAUACCGCAUACGAUCUACGGAUGAAAGCGGGGGAUCGCAAGACCUCGCGCGAGUGGAGCGGCCGAUGUCAGAUUAGGUAGUUGGUGGGGUAAAGGCUCACCAAGCCAACGAUCUGUAGCUGGUCUGAGAGGACGACCAGCCACACUGGAACUGAGACACGGUCCAGACUCCUACGGGAGGCAGCAGUGGGGAAUUUUGGACAAUGGGCGCAAGCCUGAUCCAGCCAUGCCGCGUGAGUGAAGAAGGCCUUCGGGUCGUAAAGCUCUGUCCUCAAGGAAGAUAAUGACGGUACUUGAGGAGGAAGCCCGGCUAACUACGUGCCAGCAGCGCGUAAGAGUCACGUCG